CUCAAUUUUCGGUCUUUUGGCUAAGAUCAAGAGUAAUAUUUGUUUUACGAGUUCAAUAUCUGGUAUAUGAACAAUAUGUUCACUUUGACAUUAAAUUCAUUUAUUAUGGGUGUUUUUAUGUGGAUGGUUCAUUAAGACUCUCAAGUGUCGCUUAGUCACC
This 160-nucleotide small nuclear RNA is filed under the name Zea mays. Its description in RNAcentral is "U2 spliceosomal RNA". It matches the Rfam family "U2 spliceosomal RNA". Rfam says of the family: U2 is a small nuclear RNA (snRNA) component of the spliceosome (involved in pre-mRNA splicing). Complementary binding between U2 snRNA (in an area lying towards the 5' end but 3' to hairpin I) and the branchpoint sequence (BPS) of the intron results the bulging out of an unpaired adenosine, on the BPS, which initiates a nucleophilic attack at the intronic 5' splice site, thus starting the first of two transesterification reactions that mediate splicing. The record is from Rfam by way of RNAcentral. Lineage: Eukaryota; Viridiplantae; Streptophyta; Magnoliopsida; Poales; Poaceae.